RNAcentral lists this small RNA (229 nucleotides) under Arabidopsis thaliana (thale cress). RNAcentral's name for it is "ATSL042440". Lineage: Eukaryota; Viridiplantae; Streptophyta; Magnoliopsida; Brassicales; Brassicaceae. The record is from RNAcentral.
GUUAACAUACAACGAUAUAACGCAUCACUCGUAACAUAUACGAGGGAAAGAAAUCUGUAAGUAGGAUUACUAAGAUUCUAACCUGCAAGUCAAGUAGAGACAAGAAGACUGUACAAGUUCAGCUCUGCAUCCUUUGGUGAAGUUUUGGUCCAUUGCCGCCUUCAGAAACUAAGACGGUGUAAGAAUCUUGACUGAUUGAUUAAUACUGAGACGAUAUGUAAAAAAAUUA